Molecule: long non-coding RNA, 792 nt
Filed under: Homo sapiens (human)
Lineage: Eukaryota; Metazoa; Chordata; Mammalia; Primates; Hominidae
Description: HSALNT0205497
Source: RNAcentral
AGAAAUACAUGUGGUAAGUUCCAAAUCUUUUACGAAAAUCAUUAAAAAUUUUCAUCUUUGAACAUAUUGGGUGUGGAGUAAUUAAGAAAGGAAUUUUGGGGGUCUUUUCUUUAUUUUAUUUGCUUGGGACUAUAUCAGUUUAGGAAUCAGUCUUUGACUGCAAGUAACAAAAACCCAACUAACAUUGGCUUAAACAAGUAAAGGGCUGUUCUUAUCCAUGAAAAGGAAGUGGAAGUAGGUAACUGAGAGUGUUCAUUCAUCUCCUCAAUGAUAGUAUCAGAAAACCAGGCUCUUUCUGCCUUUCCACUCCACUUCUCUAGCCUGUGGGCUUUUGUCCUUCUGUCCAUCUCCUCAGGCAAAUGGUUCCUGCAGCUCCAGCCACCAAAUUAACAUCUAAGGCAGGGUCAGUCACAUCUGUCUUCUUUUUUCAGGAAAGCAAAAGAUUUCCUGCCCCUUCCCAUCAGACAUGCACUCACUUCUAAUUGGGCAAAACUGUGUCACAUGGCCACCCUUAUCUUCAUGGGCCUGGGGAAGCCGAAUACUACUUGACUUAACGGAAUCUAUCAUCCUGAACAAAAUUGGAGUUUGCAAAGAAGGAAAGGGAAUGGAUAUUGGCUGCCACAUUAAUGUCAGGAUGCUCCACAACGGUGACAGGUCAUGAGACUUUUCAGAUUAUUUUGCUGUGAAUUUUUAAAUAUUUCAUGUAAACCAUAGACUGACUGUAAUGUUUAGUACAGUUUUCUCACCCCAUAGGUCCUUUGCCAAAUAAAAUACCGGGAAGGAAAGUCUGAG